Molecule: ribosomal RNA, 468 nt
Filed under: uncultured bacterium
Lineage: Bacteria
Description: partial 16S ribosomal RNA
Rfam family: Bacterial small subunit ribosomal RNA
Source: RNAcentral
GACGAACGCUGGCGGCGUGCUUAACACAUGCAAGUCGAACGGAAAGGCCCUGCUUUUGUGGGGUGCUCGAGUGGCGAACGGGUGAGUAACACGUGAGUAACCUGCCCUUGACUUUGGGAUAACUUCAGGAAACUGGGGCUAAUACCGGAUAGGAGCUCCUGCUGCAUGGUGGGGGUUGGAAAGUUUCGGCGGUUGGGGAUGGACUCGCGGCUUAUCAGCUUGUUGGUGGGGUAGUGGCUUACCAAGGCUUUGACGGGUAGCCGGCCUGAGAGGGUGACCGGCCACAUUGGGACUGAGAGACGGCGCAGACUCCUACGGGAGGCAGCAGUGGGGAAUAUUGCACAAUGGGCGGAAGCCUGAGGCAGCAACGCCGCGUGCGGGAUGACGGCCUUCGGGUUGUAAACCGCUUUCGCCUGUGACGAAGCGUGAGUGACGGUAAUGGGUAAAGAAGCACCGGCUAACUACGUG